UAGGGAAUAUUGGACAAUGGGGGCAACCCUGAUCCAGCCAUGCCGCGUGAGUGAAGAAGGCCCUCGGGUUGUAAAGCUCUUUUGUCCGGAAAGAAAAGCAUUCGGUGAAUACCCGGAUGUUCUGACGGUACCGGAAGAAUAAGCACCGGCUAACUUCGUGCCAGCAGCCGCGGUAAUACGAAGGGUGCAAGCGUUACUCGGAAUUACUGGGCGUAAAGCGUGCGUAGGUGGUUGUUUAAGUCUGAUGUGAAAGCCCUGGGCUCAACCUGGGAAUGACAUUGGAAACUGGGCAGCUAGAGUGCGGUAGAGGGUAGUGGAAUUCCCGGUGUAGCAGUGAAAUGCGUAGAGAUCGGGAGGAACGUCUGUGGCGAAGGCGACUGCCUGGACCAGCACUGACACUGAGGCACGAAAGCGUGGGGAGCAAACA
This 427-nucleotide ribosomal RNA is filed under the name uncultured bacterium. Its description in RNAcentral is "bacterial SSU rRNA". It matches the Rfam family "Bacterial small subunit ribosomal RNA", at positions 355 to 774 of the family's 1533-position model. The record is from RNAcentral.